Bos taurus (domestic cattle) is the source of this 510-nucleotide long non-coding RNA. NCBI's taxonomy places the organism in Eukaryota, Metazoa, Chordata, Mammalia, Artiodactyla, Bovidae. The record is from Ensembl.
GUACCCACAUAGCUUGUUUUUUUUUUUUCCCUUUGAAAGAUUUAUUUAAUUAUUUAUUUAUUUUUGGCUGCAUUGGGUCUUGGUUGCUGCACUUGGGCUUUCUCUAGUUAUAGCAAACUAUGGCUACUCUCUUGUUGCAGUGUGUGGGCUACUCAUUGUGGAGGCCUCUUUUGUGCUGGCGCACAGGCUUAGUUUCUCCUUGGCAUGUGAGAUCUUCAUGGACCAGGGAUCGAACCCACGUUCCCUGCAUUGGCAGGAGAUUUUUCAAUAUUCAGAGAAAAGAAUGAGGAGACCUGAGGGAGAACUAAACAUGUAUCUUCUGCUGUGCGUGGAAAUGAUGAUUUUCAUAAAGAAAAUAAAUGUACAUGCAAUAAAGCCCAGAGAUAUAAAUGCAGAAAUGAAUAACAGGCUCAAGGCCACAAAGAUGACAAAUCACCAGGUGAUUACGCUGUGGGCUCUCUGUAUGUACAGCAAGCUCUUUGAGAACAGAGAAGACCCCCCAGAUUGAAG